This is a long non-coding RNA of Suricata suricatta (meerkat), 164 nucleotides long. RefSeq lists it as uncharacterized. The transcript is spliced from 3 exons. The record is from RefSeq and is a predicted model, not a curated record. NCBI's taxonomy places the organism in Eukaryota, Metazoa, Chordata, Mammalia, Carnivora, Herpestidae.
GUUAAGUAGCCCUCCAAGUGCAGACCCAGAAGGUAAACUCUGGGUCAAGAUGGAAGGACUGAAGCUAAACUCAUGUAUAACUUUGCCGUGCUGUAAUUCCACACUUGAAUCCUUGGCUCCUGUGAAGGCAAAUGUACACACACAGGAAAUACAAUGUUCUUGAG